CUGCUACUGAGCUCUUGGUCUGCUGUGGGGAUGCAUCAGCAGGCAAAAGAGAGGGCAAGAUGCACAUUUUUGUCUUUCACAGGCUCCCCAUAGAUAUCCGUCCUGCGGUGGGCCAAUAGCGAUUGAACACCACGAGGCAGACCCUUCCAGACCAGGCCAUGGAGGCGCCGGAGACUAAAUGCCGUCCAUCUGUAUAGACCGGCUGAAAUAUUCCCCGCUGGACCAGGCCCUGCUGCAGGCUGGCUGAAGGGGGAGGGAGGAACUGCACCCUGCCAGGCAGCAAGCCACAGCCCGCAAGGACAGAGGGACAAAACCCUGGCGGGCUCGGUGGGACAGACCCUCGCAGGUCUCAGCGCAGUGGGGUAAUUGCGAUACGGCUGGGGCCCCUGUGCUCAACAACAUCCACACUCGCGUCGUUACCAGCGGCUCGUGCUCCGGUGCCCGUCAUUACAGGGAUGCGCCGAGCCGCCUUCUCUCGGCAGGACCAGGUGAGCUGAAAACAGUGUCCGAGAAGGCCAAUUCACCCGGCCCGGGGGGUCAGUGCAGAGAGGAUGCCUCUUCCUGGCUGCUUCAUUUCCACUGCCGGACAUGCCUGUGGCAGGACCGGCUCAUUACCACAGUACCUGAGCCCAGGAGCACCUGCUCCUGCAGUGAAAUCUGGGUCGUGCCUUGAUCAAGUCUGAGCGAAGAAGCCUAGAAACGCAUGCAGGGGCCGACGGGGUUUUCUGAGACAAUUUAAUUGCUCUGGAGCCCUGCCGAGUCAUAGCAGUCCUUUGGCACCUGCAGCCCUGCCUCCCAGGCCUGCUAGAGAGCUCCUACCCGAUGCCCCUUGCCCAGCUGCAACCCAAGACCCAUCUGGAUCUGGAAACCAGGCAAAGCGGUGUGCUGAGUGUCCUGAGGGGCCAGAUGCUUAGACGGCACGACCCCGAUCUUCACCAAUUUCAAGCAGAACAUCUGGAAACUAGCUCGGCUUCUUGCCUGAUGUAGCGGGGAGGGAAGUCCUCGCUGCUACAGCCCGUGGAACGAUGCGAUUGCUAGGGUUGCAUGCUGUGCAUGUGGAUGGCGGCUAUAAUUACUAAGCAGAAGCUGGGAGGGGGGAAAACGAGAGAGGACGCCAAGGGGCACAGCCUGUCCAUCAGCACUGGUAAGAAUCUCACCUGUUGGAUGAAAGAGAAUAUCUUGCCGGAAGAAUCAGGCCGUUGGAUGUAGCGGCUCUGAGGGGCAGUGGGACCUGUCCAGUGUCAGUGCACGGAGGGGGGGACCGAAGAUGGCCUGGGGGUGGGCACUUGAAGAACCUGCUGCAGUAGAUUUGCCAGAAGGCUCGGGCAGUAGUGCACAGUGGGUCAGUCGGCCUCUGUAGGGAGCAUUCAAGGGGAGGGCUCUGCAACCCGAUCGGGGUCCGCGGGGGGCUCACGGCUUCCUCCAUCCUGCUAUUGUGAGCGGGCAGUUUGGCAUUGCUGAGAACUGCAGCCGGGGCGCUGUGUGCUGGGGGCAGGAGUGGGGAGCACAGGGAGGGGAUUUCUGGGUGAAAGAACAGAGAAGGGGAAAUAGGGUUAGAGAAGUGUGGAGAAAUGCAAAAGCGGAAGGGGGUGACCCUUGUGCUGGUGACAAAACCAAGCAGUAGCAGAUUUCCCAGCAGCCACAAUGGGAACAAGUCCGGCAGGAAGAGAAUGGAGAGGAGGGAGGGGGAGAAGGCCUGAGUCUCAUGGAUUAUUUCCUA
Long non-coding RNA from Crocodylus porosus (Australian saltwater crocodile), 1720 nucleotides. The record is from Ensembl. Lineage: Eukaryota; Metazoa; Chordata; Crocodylia; Crocodylidae.